RNAcentral lists this ribosomal RNA (470 nucleotides) under uncultured organism. Its description in RNAcentral is "partial 16S ribosomal RNA". It matches the Rfam family "Bacterial small subunit ribosomal RNA", at positions 335 to 797 of the family's 1533-position model. The record is from RNAcentral.
ACUCCUACGGGAGGCAGCAGUGGGGAAUUUUGGACAAUGGGCGAAAGCCUGAUCCAGCAAUGCCGCGUGUGUGAAGAAGGCCUUCGGGUUGUAAAGCACUUUUGUCCGGAAAGAAAUCCUUGGCUCUAAUACAGUCGGGGGAUGACGGUACCGGAAGAAUAAGCACCGGCUAACUACGUGCCAGCAGCCGCGGUAAUACGUAGGGUGCGAGCGUUAAUCGGAAUUACUGGGCGUAAAGCGUGCGCAGGCGGUUUGCUAAGACCGAUGUGAAAUCCCCGGGCUCAACCUGGGAACUGCAUUGGUGACUGGCAGGCUAGAGUAUGGCAGAGGGGGGUAGAAUUCCACGUGUAGCAGUGAAAUGCGUAGAGAUGUGGAGGAAUACCGAUGGCGAAGGCAGCCCCCUGGGCCAAUACUGACGCUCAUGCACGAAAGCGUGGGGAGCAAACAGGAUUAGAAACCCUUGUAGUCCC